Molecule: long non-coding RNA, 496 nt
Filed under: Homo sapiens (human)
Lineage: Eukaryota; Metazoa; Chordata; Mammalia; Primates; Hominidae
Description: non-protein coding lnc-HEXA-4:1
Source: RNAcentral
AUGCCGCCAAAGUUUGACCCCAACGAGAUCAAAGUUGUAUACCUGAGGUGCACUGGAGGUGAAGUCGGUGCCACUUCUGCCCUGGCCCCCAAGAUCGGCCCCCUGGGUCUGUCUCCAAAAAAGGUUGGUGAUGACAUUGCCAAGGCAACGGGUGACUGGAAGGGCCUGAGGAUUACAGUGAAACUAACCACUCAGAACAGACAGGCCCAGAUUGAGGUGGUGCCUUCUGCCUCUGCUCUGAUCAUCAAAGCCCUCAAAGAACCACCGAGAGAGAAAGAAACAGAAAAACAUUAAACACAGUGGGAAUAUCACUUUUGAUGAGAUCGUCAACAUUGCUCAACAGAUGCGGCACUGAUCCUUAGCCAGAGAACUCUCUGGAACCAUUAAAGAGAUCCUGGGGACUGCCCAGUCUGUGGGCUGUAAUGUUGAUGGCCAGCACCCUCAUGACAUCAUAGAUGACAUCAACAGUGGUGCUGUGGAAUGCCCAGCUAGUUAA